AUGCUUUUGUAGUUCGUAAGUGUAAUGACUGGGUAUUUACGUUCUUGUGUGGAGGGAGAUGUGCCUCCCACAAACCUUCUUACAACAUCAGUACAUUACCCGUUUGACA
Rhinolophus ferrumequinum (greater horseshoe bat) is the source of this 109-nucleotide small nucleolar RNA. NCBI's taxonomy places the organism in Eukaryota, Metazoa, Chordata, Mammalia, Chiroptera, Rhinolophidae. The record is from Ensembl.